RNAcentral lists this ribosomal RNA (253 nucleotides) under uncultured bacterium. Its description in RNAcentral is "partial 16S ribosomal RNA". It matches the Rfam family "Bacterial small subunit ribosomal RNA", at positions 524 to 776 of the family's 1533-position model. The record is from RNAcentral.
UACGUAGGUGGCAGGCGUUGUCCGGAUUUACUGGGCGUAAAGAGCGCGCAGGCGGUCGUUCAAGUCGCGUGUGAAAGCCCCCGGCUCAACUGGGGAGGGUCACGCGAUACUGAUCGACUCGAAGGCAGGAGAGGGAAGUGGAAUUCCCGGUGUAGUGGUGAAAUGCGUAGAUAUCGGGAGGAACACCAGUGGCGAAGGCGGUUCUCUGGGCAUGAUCUGACGCUGAGGAGCGAAAGUGUGGGGAGCGAACAGG